This 67-nucleotide transfer RNA is filed under the name Hierodulella sp. JZ-2017. RNAcentral's name for it is "tRNA-Leu". The record is from RNAcentral. Lineage: Eukaryota; Metazoa; Arthropoda; Insecta; Mantodea; Mantidae.
AAACUAUUUUGGCAGAUUAAGUGUAAUAGAUUUAGAAUCUAUAAAUAUGAUUUAUAAUCAUAAGUAG